Molecule: long non-coding RNA, 264 nt
Organism: Cervus elaphus (red deer)
Lineage: Eukaryota; Metazoa; Chordata; Mammalia; Artiodactyla; Cervidae
Exons: 3
Source: RefSeq, a predicted model, not a curated record
ACAGGAAAUAAUGGCCACACAGACCUGAAGAUAAUUGUCACAUUACUCUUCAGAUCUGACCAGACUUUUCAGUGGAAGUGGUUUAGAGACUUAUGGCCAAGAGGACCCAUUUGGUGCAAUUCUGGAAUGACGCAAAGCACUGAAGAUUGUGUCAAGACACCAGAAGGAACAACAAUAUGAUUUUGCUGGAUUUUCUCCAGAAAUAUAUCAUGCAGGUGGCUCAGAUCUUCACUGGUCUGAUGAAAGCAUGCCUGUUUGUGACAG